UUGCCAUCAUUUAGUUGGGCACUUUAGCGAGACUGCCGGUGACAAACCGGAGGAAGGUGGGGAUGACGUCAAGUCCUCAUGGCCCUUAUGGGUAGGGCUUCACACGUCAUACAAUGGUCGGUACAGAGGGUUGCCAAGCCGCGAGGUGGAGCCAAUCCCAGAAAACCGAUCGUAGUCCGGAUUGGAGUCUGCAACUCGACUCCAUGAAGUCGGAAUCGCUAGUAAUCGCGGAUCAGAAUGUCGCGGUGAAUACGUUCCCGGGUCUUGUACACACCGCCCGUCAAACCAUGGGAGUGGGUCUCACCAGAAGUAGGUAGCCUAACCGUAAGGAGGGCGCUUACCACGGUGGGAUUCAUGACUGGGGUUAAGUCGUAACAAGGUAGCCGUAUCGGAAGG
Molecule: ribosomal RNA, 396 nt
Filed under: uncultured bacterium
Lineage: Bacteria
Description: bacterial SSU rRNA
Rfam family: Bacterial small subunit ribosomal RNA
Source: RNAcentral